GACGAACGUUGGCGGCGUGCUUAAUACAUGCAAGUCAACUGAAGCAGUGGUAGCAAUAUCGCUGUGGAGGUGGCGCACGGGUGAGUAACACGUAGGUAAUCUGCCUUCAGGUCUGGCAUAACUCCGGGAAACCGGGGCUAAUAGCAGAUGAUGCAGCGGCUCGACAUCGAGACAGUUGUUAAAGCUAUGGUGCCUGAAGAUGAGCCUGCGUCUGAUUAGCUAGUUGUCGGGGUAACGGCCCACCAAGGCAACGAUCAGUAGCUGGUCUGAGAGGAUGAUCAGCCACACUGGAACUGAGACACGGUCCAGACUACUACGGGAGGCAGAAGUAAGGAAUAUUGCUCAAUGGGAGAACUCCUGAGGCAGCGACGCCGCGUGAGGGACGAAGGGCUUUUGCUUGUAAACCUCUGUAGUGAGAGAAAAAAAUCCCAAUCUUUGGGACAUGAUGGUAUCUCAAAAGUAAGCCCCGGCUAACUACGUG
Molecule: ribosomal RNA, 481 nt
Filed under: uncultured bacterium
Lineage: Bacteria
Description: partial 16S ribosomal RNA
Rfam family: Bacterial small subunit ribosomal RNA
Source: RNAcentral